UGGUGGCGAUGGCGGAGGGGUUCCACGCGUACCCAUCCCGAACACGACCGUUAAGCCCUCCAGCGCCGAUGGUACUUGGACCGAAGGGUCCUGGGAGAGUAGGACGCCGCCAAGCA
This 116-nucleotide ribosomal RNA is filed under the name Paenibacillus macerans. Lineage: Bacteria; Bacillati; Bacillota; Bacilli; Caryophanales; Paenibacillaceae. The record is from RNAcentral.